This is a non-coding RNA of Elaeis guineensis (African oil palm), 1926 nucleotides long. The record is from RefSeq and is a predicted model, not a curated record. Lineage: Eukaryota; Viridiplantae; Streptophyta; Magnoliopsida; Arecales; Arecaceae.
CUGGAGUGGAAGAAGGAAAAACCUUCCCACAUCCUUCCCCCACACGUACAUCUCUCCCUAUUGAUUGAUUUUAUAGCUGGUCCGGCGAUCGCCAGCACUUGCCGCUUGCAUCUGUCGUGGAUCUUCCGAAGAAUCACCCUCCAAACCCUACUUUACAUCUCAUCACCCCCAUAUCUUCUGCCACGAACUCCCAAUCCCUCCUCCCUCCCCUCCCAUCUCCCCCGCCUCCAAAACCCCACCCUCCCGCGUCCAUGUCCACGAAGCAAAUCUCCAAUCCCGAUCUCUCGUCCUCAGCGACCGAAGCCUCGACCCCAUCUCCUCCCUCCACCCGGGAGAUCACCCUCGCCUGGCCUUCCGAUGGAAUCCUGACCGUCGAAUGGAUCCGAGCCCUCACCGCCGCCCUCGACUGGGCCUCCCGCCACCUCCCGCCCUCCGGUCUCCCCUCCGUCCUCCCCUUCGCCGUCUUCCACCGCCUGGUACUCGCCGCAUCCAACAUCCUCCACAAGGAGCGCAACUGCGUGACCGUCGACGUCGGCGACGAGUCCUGCAGUGUCGUCGUUGUCGGCGACGUUCAUGGCCAGCUCCAUGAUGUGAUCUUCUUGCUGGAGGAUGCUGGAUUUCCAUCGGAAGAUCGCUUCUUUGUGUUUAAUGGAGACUAUGUGGAUCGGGGUGCCUGGGGCUUGGAGACUUUCGUCCUCUUGCUGGCUUGGAAGAUAUUUUUACCACAUCGAGUAUUUCUCCUCCGUGGUAAUCAUGAAUCCAAGUACUGCACAUCUGUUUAUGGCUUUGAGAAAGAGGUAAUGGUUAAAUAUGGAGAUCAAGGCCAACAAGUCUAUCGAAAGUGUUUAAGAUGUUUUGAAGGUCUUCCUUUGGCAUCCAUUAUAGCAGGAUGUGUAUAUACUGCUCAUGGAGGGCUUUUUCGCAGCAUGAAUCUUGCUUCAUCAAAGAGAUCAAAAGGCAAAAAAGGCCGUAAGGUAGUCACCAAUGUUGACACAAACUCACUGAAGCUUGGUUCCUUGGAGGAGUUACAAAAUGCAAGGCGAACAGUUCUUGACCCUCCAUGGGAGGGUUCAAACUUGAUACCUGGUGAUGUACUAUGGUCUGAUCCUUCAGUAAAGCCAGGGAUUUCUCCAAAUGAAGAGAGAGGAAUUGGUUUGUUAUGGGGACCUGAUUGCACUGAAGAGUUCCUUAAAAAAUAUAAUCUGAAGUUGAUUAUCAGGUCACAUGAAGGCCCUGAUGCAAGGGAUAAACGGCAUGAUCUUAGUGGAAUGAAUGACGGCUAUACAAUAGAUCAUACAGUGGAAUCAGGAAAGCUCAUUACUCUUUUUAGUGCUCCUGACUACCCCCAAUUUCAGGCUACGGAAGAACGAUUCAACAAUCGUGGCGCAUAUAUUGUACUACACCCACCUGAUUUUACUUCUCCUGAAUUCCAUACUUUUGAAGCCAUAAAGCCAAGGCCUCAGGCAAAUGCCUACUACGACUUUGAAGAAGUGAUUGAUUCUGAUGAAGAGUUGGAUUUGCAAUCCAUGGACCAUGGCUCAGCUCUUGAGGGCAUCACUGCUAUUCAGACAGAAUAGUUAUAUUGUGAUACUGAUGUGCUUUAUUUUAUUCUUUUUUUUUUUGCUUGUGCGUUAUGAAGUUUACUGCUACAAAAGUUUUUGAUGUCAUCUCCAAGUGUAGAAAAUAGAUCGAGAUUAAUUAUGUUAUGUAUCUUGUAUAACCUCUUGGGAAGAUUUAUACAAGCGGAGCCAUCAAAGGCAUUUUUUGUUAUUGAGAGUGCUCAAAGCCUCAAACCAUAACUGACCCACUACAAUAAUAGUAACCAGGUAUCAAUUUUUCUCAUAUAUGACCUACAAUGAUCUGUUGAUAGUUGCAACUGUUGUUGGUUGUGAUGGAUCGGAAUCAGAGCCCUUUUUUCUCUCUUCU